Molecule: non-coding RNA, 343 nt
Organism: Cyanistes caeruleus (blue tit)
Lineage: Eukaryota; Metazoa; Chordata; Aves; Passeriformes; Paridae
Source: RefSeq, a predicted model, not a curated record
GCCCCCACCGGCACCUGCCGCCACCCCCAGACCCCCGGCGUCCCCUCACGGUGUUACGGUUGAACCGCACCUGGAAAUUAAACACAAACCUGAGGAACGCGGGCAGCAGCUCGGAUGGAACAGAGGACUCGGAUUUCUCCACGGAUCCCGAGCACACGGACAGCUCCGAGAGCGACGGCACCUCCCGGAGAUCCGCCCGCGUCACCCGCUCCUCCGCCAGGCUCAGCCAGAGCUCCCAGGGUGAGGCUGGGCUCCUGCAGCCGGGAAAGGCUCAUCCUGAAACUGGGGAUCCUUAAAUCCUUAAACUGGGGAAAGCCUCAUCCUGAAACCGGGGAUCCUUAAA